This 2313-nucleotide unclassified non-coding RNA is filed under the name Acanthaster planci (crown-of-thorns starfish). RNAcentral describes it as "marginal zone B- and B1-cell-specific protein-like, transcript variant X1". Lineage: Eukaryota; Metazoa; Echinodermata; Asteroidea; Valvatida; Acanthasteridae. The record is from RNAcentral.
CGAUUAUGCGUAUCAUAACGGGUCGUAAACUUAAAGUGAUUUGUGUACCGUAGUGAGUGGCGGAUACGGUGGUGGAACAAUAACAGGUUGUUUGUCGUUUAUAAUUAAUUGCCUGUUGAGCUCAGUAACUCGGUAAUCUCUUGCUGGUUUCCCUUGAAUGUGAAGCGUAGAUCUUGCCACUCUCCCGAAGUUAUCACAGAUAUUUUGAGCUAGAAUUCGCCUGCUGUAAACAUGUCAAAGCGUCCGUUGCCGUGGGAGUGGGUGGUCGUCACCUUCGCCGUGCUGGUUAGCGGGCUAGUGGCGCUCGUGUUAGCCGGGGGAGGAAUGAAGUUCGAGCCCGACCCAGAUGCCGAGGUGUAUGAUUCUGGUUUUGCCUCGUCUGGUAAGAUGUCCUUCACUACCCCUGAUCUCGAUGACGAAGAUCACCACUCACUACACAUGCCAGACCAACUGCUUUGUGAUGCUUGCCAAAUAGUAGCACACAUGCUUGAGACAAAGUUUGACAAGAUGAACGAGAAGAGGCCCUCCUUGAAGAAGAACUUAUAUGAAUCGGACAUCCUGGAUGCUGUUGACGAGGUCUGCAGUGACGAGUUCAGCUCAGUUGGAAUCAAAGAAAUCAAGGGAGUGAAGCGGUUAGCGGGACCAGGCCUGAGCACCAAAGACGUUCCUGGCAUCAUGCAAGGAGGUGGCAAAUGGCCCGGCAGAAUGAGGGAAGUGUGCACCCAGUACGCUGGAGACUUGGAGGAGGAAAACAUUUACAAUGCCUACAAGGAAAAGGAGCUGCAGAAAUUCUUGUGUUAUGAUGAAGGACGCCAUUGUGCGAAGGUUGCCAAAAACAAAGAUGGCAAGAAGACCAAGAAAGAAAGAAAAGUGGAAUUAUAAUUAAAAGAAAAAGGUGUUAAUAUUUUGUUGAGGGGAUUCCCUUUCUACAUGUACCAUCAUUCAUUGCUUAAUACUAAGGUAAAGAGUUUAGUUAUCUCGUUGGGUAACGAGCCUGCAGUGAAGGCCAUGAGUUUACAAUGAAGGCCUUUCCACACGAGAACAUCAAAUCCUAAUGCAAAUUCACCCUAGGUUAGCCUGGGAUAGCCCCCUUGACCAAUGUCUCUCAGUUGUUCAGCUUUUCAUUGUUCUGCACUUUUUCACACAAAAGCUACGUUAAUCUUGCCAAGGGGGUGAAUAUGUACUGGCACUCAGUGCAAAUACAUGUAUAUUGCGCUCACAGCUUUUAGCCCAGAGUGAAAGUCGACACGUGUCACUGCAAUGGAACCUGUGCUGCCAACUUCCGUUAAAUGUUUAAAACUUUUGUGACUAUUGAGGGUUAAGAACGAAAACUUGCUUUCUCAAAAUUUCAGAUUUCCAUUGUGACAUGCACUGAUUUCAAACACAAAAAACUAACACGUAUUCCUUCUUCUUGCGCACUUUGUUCUGUUGGAAACAUGUCUCAUAUCACACAACUUACUGUUUUCCUUUACAAGCUUAAGACCGUUCCAACAAGCUCCAAUUUUGGUGUAAUUUUUUUGUCGCUGCAACAUGUCAUUAACAGUUCUAUUUUUACUUUGUUUACAUUUUAAAAUUUGCUUCUCUUCGACCUGAACAUUUUUAGAGGAUAAUGUUUAAAUCAUUUUUGAGAGCAGAUUUCUCAGGCAUCCGACGAUUUUAACUCGUCAGCUGUAUGUGUACAGGGAAUGAUUAGUGCUAGUUUACCGUAUUGAGAACUUAGUGCCUAGAAAUUUUCAAUUUUGCAACGUAAAGGAAUGUGUAAGGCUCUCUCCAAAGAAUGUUGUCAUCUUGUUGCCUCACUGAAUAAUAUUUGGAGGUUUCAUACUGUGAAUUAAUUUCAUGGUUGUAGCUUGACAAAAACAACUUGCAAUUGAAAUCUACCUGAAUACCUUCUUUCAUUAGCACUGUAUAAUAUACCCUAUCAGUAAAUUUCAACUGUGCCAAGUGUUAGUGAUAGCAUAUCUCCAAGAGAUUCCUUUUGUAUUUACCAAGUCCAUCACUAUAAAUAGAAUUGUUUGGCAGUGCCUUGAUAGAGAUUUGUGAUUUUUCCUCGUAGUUACUGUUCAAUCUGACUAAAAGUAGAGUACUCAGAAAUAUGUUACAGCUUGUAAAUUUUUCACUUGAUUUUUCUAAGUAUGAGUCUGUGGAAACCAUCAAUAACAAAAGAUAAAGGAUGACAUUAUUUGCACAGAUUUAGAAAUUACCUUUGUAAGGAGACACUGUGUGAGACGUGGUUGUGAUCAAGUACUGUAUAUGUGGUGUUUUUCUUAUUUAUUAAUUAAAAAGAGAUACUUAUAUUGCAAAAGAAAUCUC